GCGCUAGUAGUGUAGGGUUAUCAUACAAGAUUCCCAUUCUUGCGACCUGAGUUCGAGUCCCGGCUAGCGCA
Xenopus tropicalis (tropical clawed frog) is the source of this 71-nucleotide non-coding RNA. NCBI's taxonomy places the organism in Eukaryota, Metazoa, Chordata, Amphibia, Anura, Pipidae. The record is from Rfam.